UGGAUCUAUCUAAGCGUGAUUGGGAACCUGAGCGUCUGAACCUAUGAUAUGAAAGAUCAUAGCACAAAAAAAUAUGCAUCAGUACAUGGGAAUGUACUAGUAUGAUAGAUGAGGUAAGGCUGAAUGCAAGAGCACAUAUGCAUCAACAAUAAUAGACUAAAUGAUAUAGAGUAACUGAAUAUAAGAGUACACGAAUAAUAUAUAUACAUAUAUAUAUUGUAUCUGAGCAUUUCUGAAGCUAAGUACUGAGUUUGAUAACUAAGUAUCUGAUAUCUGAAGUUACUGAUAAUUGAUGUUUUGAUACUGAUAAACUAUGUCUCACAGUCCUGAUUCUGUAAAAAUAAACUGAGUUCUAAACUGAAUACUAACAUUGAAAUAGUGGGAGGUAAUUAUCUAAUCGACAUGCCCCAAAUCUGAGCUAAUAGGGGUCAAACCUAUGACCCUAGUUGGAAGGGUGCUAAUACCGUGCCACGGGUACUAACACUGGAAAACUAGGAUACUAAGCCUAGCUGGCUAGUCUGACGGGUGACUCCUCAUCCUGCGCUGGCUACGCAAUUCUAGAGUACAAGGACUGCUACUAUUGAAUCUGCCUCUCUGACGGGAAAUCCGUCAUCCCUGCACUUGCUUGGUGCUAAAUUCUACUCCCAACUGAAAGACACUGAACAGAGUAUACUAAACUUCACUGGACUGAUACAAAAUUUACUAAGUUUUCUUGAGUUCUGUAACUGACUGAAUUUACUGAGUUCUAUUGAUCGUGGCAUGACUGAUAUUAUUCUAUAACUGACACUGGCUCUAGGUAAACAACUGAAUUAUCGGGUAUUAAAUACCCCCAGGACUCGAUAGCAUAAAAAAAAUAAAGCAUAGUAUAAUCUUGAAUACAUAAUAAUGGCUACUUGACCACAAUCCACGUAUUGAGAUAUUUCAGCAAAAACUUGUAAUGCAUUUACUUGUACAUGAAUGGGAAAUAUAUGCUAUCAUGGUUUAAUGUAACUAUUUCAUUCACAUAGGCAUUUUAUCAAACACUUGUAUGGCAUAGGCUCAUACGUAUACUAGCAUGUCAUGAUUUUAUCAUUUAAUUCGCAUGAACAUUCUAUCAAACACUUGGGAGCACAACUUAAUGCACAUAAUCAUGGAUAACACAUAAUCAUGGAAACUACGAAGUCCCAAACUUGCAAUUUCAUGGGUUUCACAUGCAACUCAUAAAAUUCCCCCUAUUUUCAUGAAUGUUAUCAUAAUCAUGGAUUGAAAACCAAAUUAACAUCAUAGAUACAUUAAUCACUUUGUAAAUUCAAAGGUUUAUCAGGAUAAUCACAAAUCCAUCACACAUGCUAUCCAAUUUCAUGAAACUUGCACUUAAACCAUGAAUUUGGAACCCAACUAAUAUCAUGAACAUGACUUCAAUCUAAUUCAAACAUGGAAAUCAUAAAUCAUAAAUCUUGAAAAUUUAAAAACGGAUUCUUAGACUCUAUGGAUGAAAGGGACCUAUAGAUGAAUACCUAACAUACCUUGGAAUGCUAAUUCUUGAAGGUUCUUGGAAAGAUUCUUGAGCUUGACCUUGAUUCUUGAAGCUAGGGAUUUGCUAAUUUGAGAGAGAGAGCUUGUUGAUUUGGGGAAAAACUAUUAAACAAUGAGUUCAAAACAUUUUUAGGGCUUAAAUAUCACACCUGGGCGGAAUAAAAUCAUAGGAAAAGACCCAUUUAACCUUGGAAGAAACUUUAAUUUUUUGUCAAAUUUUUUUGAACUGGGCCCUUGGCGCGACGCACCAUGAUCGCAUCGGGCCAUUGGAAACUGACAAUUGGGAAUUGGGCUGUGGCGAGAUGCGGUGAGAUUGCGUUGCCACUUUAAUUCUAAAAUUUGGACUCAUCGCGAUACAGUGGGAUCGCACUGGUACACUGGAAUUACAUAAUUUUGAAUAUGAGCCUUGGUGCGAUGCACUAGGAUCAUGGAAGCUCACUGGUUUUGACAAUUUCUAUUUUUUGGCUCCGUGAUGCACUGAAGUGCCAGUUGACACAUUGUUCCACUAAAAUGGCUCUAACUCUUCACCCGAGUGUCUGAUUUGGGCGAAUUUUAUAUCGUUAAAAAGCUAAUUGAAUUUUCUACGCAUUGGCAGGCUCUAAAACUAAAAAUACUAAGUAUUUAAAAAAUUUGUAUUGGAUCACUCAAGGACUUAGAGCUAAGUUAAGCUUGAGAAAUAUGGGGUAUUACAAUAUCUUCUCCUUGAGAAUAUUCAUCCUCGAAUGAGAUUGAUUAAGUUGAGGAUUACUAAUAGACUGAGUUUACACACUGAAUAUGCAUAUCUGGUGUAUGGAAUUCAUGAUUGAAGCUACUGAUAUGCUGAGUUUCAUACUAAAUAAGAAUAUUUGAUGCAUGAGUACAUGACUAAACUAAUUCAUGAAUGCAUGACUGAAUAUGCAAUGGGAAGAAAUACUAUGUUUAUAACUAUAACUGGGCAUGGAAUUUAGUAAAUCUAUGGAAGAUUGUCACCUUAAGCUAAGAAUACUGAUGAAACUGAGAUAAUUUACUAAACACACAUGAACGGGAAUAUAAAAACAUGACUGAGUCUAAAACAUGAUAUAUGAAUUGAAUAUAGUGAACUAAACUGAUUUCCUUGAAUACAUGCCAUGUCAUGGGAAUGGUCAUACAACUGAUAUUGGAAUGAGAGUGUCGACUUAUGAGUACCCGUUACUUCAGACUUGAUCUUAUUAUGUGAAGAGAUAAGAGAAUUGAAGGUUUAGGACAUGAAAGAUCGGGGGUUAUAGUGAAUCUCCCCCUUGGGAUAUUAUGUCCCCCGAAGAAUGCUGACUUGGCUAGGAUUCUGAGGAAAACUAAGACGAUGCACAGGGCACCUAUGAAUUAAAUCAUGACUGAAUAUCUAGGAUCUAAAACCAAGGUAUGAUAUAUGAACUGAGCUAAACUCAAAACUACUUGGAUGCUCUAUUUUGAAAUAGUCAUAUUCAUGAAACUUUGGAUAGUACAACUGGGUGAAAAGAAGGGAAAACUGUACAAACUUAUCUGUUCGACUGCUAAACUAAAUUCCUGGCUUUACGGACUAACUCGUACUGAAAACCUAUUAUUACCUAGAUCAUUUCUAUGACACUCUUUUUAUAAAGUUCUACUGACUUUAGGGAGUAUGGAGAUUUUGGCAUAGUCUGAAUAAAACGUUUAAAUGAGAAAUUACCUCCUGGCUAAAAUUCUGUAAUAUGAGGCGAGGCUUAUGGAACAUUAUCUAAAAUAUAGUGAUUAAGCCUUAUGUACUACCGCUACAAAUUUUGAAGCUUAAAUAUAUUUCUUGAAUACUCUCUCAACUAUACCCUCCACCUUAAUACAAUAAUUCACCUGAGACUAUUGAAAAAUAUUCCCAUGGGCACUGAACACGAAUGCGUAAACAUACUAACUUAUUUGAUCAACUAGAUGAAUGAUAGUUGAAUACUGGUAAUGUAAGAUUGAAUUGUACUUAACCUGAAUAACUGGACUAAAACUAUAGAGUACUAUGCAUAUGAGGUAAGGAGUGACUGAGGAACGUAAGGUAACUGAACAUGAAUUCGUGGGAAUGGUAUUAUCUAAGAAUGUAAGACUAAGAUCAUAGCAUGAUACUGAAAUACUAAGAUACUGAUAACUGAAUAAAUGGAAACUGUAUGCUUUUGUCAAGCAAACCUGAAACUGGACUUAGUUUUGUACUGAAUGCUGAACUGAGACUGUGACUGAGUUCUGAUAGCUACGUGAUGGGGACUGGCAUAAAUUAAGGAUCUAAAUGUACACUCACACUCUGCAUUUUCUCAACUUCUUAUCUCAAAAAGAAUUUUGAUUUUUCUUCAAUGACUAAAUACAACCUCUUGCUAGCUAUUCACCCACACACUAACACAACAUUCAAUCCUAUCUUCAUAACUACAACCUCGUGUAAAACUAGCAUACAACAAUCUUUUCUUAACAUGAAACAUUUACUCUUUCCNNNNNNNNNNNNUCACUACAUCAUUUCAUAAGAAGAGUUCACUGAAGGUUAAAACAUAAAGACCUGAAGCAUGAAUGACAUUAUACCGAACUUGACAGUAAACUGAGGCCUGAGGAAUAGCACAUUAACAUCCUAGAUUUAUCAAGAGAUCUAGACUGAGGAUAUACAUAACAAAAUCUAAAUUUAGCUGAUCAUUAGGAGUAUAGCAUAAGUCAUGGAAAUUGAGCAUACUAUAAAGCAUGACAUGAGUACAUGAGUUAUGAGCUGCAUGACUUGAGUUUGGAGUUUCUGUAUUCAUGGAACAUGAUUCGUAAAACUGAGGAAACUAGAACUCCUUAUACUAGAAAUUGAAAGCGUACAUAAUUUUUGAUAACGUGCAUGAACAGGAGCUAUGAUCAUAGAGUUGACAUGUAAGGAAUGAGUAGAUAUCGUGAUAGCUGAAGUGCCAAACUUUGCACCGAGGUAAAGACGGAUUGGGAAUCAACCUCUUCUACUGCUUUUCUAUACAUACUGACAUUACUACUAAAAUCUGAAAGUCUGACUUGGUUACUUAUUAUGCCAUCUCCCCUUAGCUUAAAUUCGUUAUUCUAAGUCUGUGAACCACUUAAUAAACUCUAAGUCGAACUGAAACCACUUUACUCUAGAGCCUGAGAUAUGACUAUGCUCACAAACACUAAACUCAUUUUGAAGGACUACUCCUGAUAAUGUAAGAUCUACUGCUAGUACUUUCUUCUGAUACAUGAUUCUUAGCUUUCUAUUGCCCUAACAAUCAUUAUCUAGCAACCCUUAUCACUAACUAACUUAGAAUUCUCAACUUUUUUUUCUACUAGUUCAAUCUAUAGAUUCAAACUUAAAUCAACUAAAACUGAGGUACUACCCCUUCAUCCAAAGACUGGUUCAUCAGGAAACUAAAAUGAAAUAACUCAAUUACUGAAAUUAACUAAAAGGAUUUUCUGAAAUACUGUAACCAAGAUAAUUUUUGUAUACUCGUCUGGCUGGAAUAGAUUUACCUAUUGAGGUAAGCACUAAGAAAGGUUCUAUUAAAAUUUCUAGUCUGACUUAAAAUUGACUGAUAUGCAAGGAUUUACAAAAGACAAAGAAGCUCCUGGAUCAAAUAAGGCAUGAAUAUGUAAAUGAAAGAUCUGUAACGUAUCACUGACCAUGUUAGGAGAACUUUCCUGAUCUUGUCAGGAUUGAAGGGCAUAAAUCCUAUUUGGGCAUUACCCACUAGUGGUAUUGGAAGUAGGACCCUGCUAGUUCGGGUGACCGAACUGAGAUGAAGGACAGUUGAAUGACCCUGUUGGCGUAAAUCUUUUACCCUCGGAGCUAUUACUUUACACUUUCGAAUCCUGUGGUAUGGCUUUCCAUAUUUAAAACAUACAUUUCUACCAGCUCUACAUAUACCCUAAUGGUUUCUACCAUAUUCUUUGCAAAGCGGGUAGGUACGGCCUAUUUUUAUACUACCCAAAGGUGGAGUGCCUGAUGUUCUACCUCGAGUGUCAUUUAUAAACUUUGGCACUGGCUCACUAUUUAUAGGAGGAUUUAGGGUUGAGAAUUUCUGAUGGAACUGGAAGCGGUUACCACCCUCUGACCUUUGCCUAAAACCACUUGUUCUGACUCGCUUAUUCUCUCUAUCUUUCUUUCUAUGCUUUUCCCUCUUACUCUGUUGAGUAUGAAACCCAAGACUAGAUAGGAAAAUCACCUUUAGGUUGUUCUGAGCAACUAUUGAAUAGGCUAAAGUAGUGAAAGAAGCUCUGAAUUCUGCAUGGGAGACAUGCUCAUCCAGGGGAUCUGCCUGAAUGGGCUGAUGUGCUGAUUGAUUUCCAUUUCUUCUUCUGUUAGUCUUUUUGGGAGGCAUGUUCUAUAACCAGAAGGAAGAAAAGGAUUAUUAGCUUGAGCUCAUGCUCACUCGCCCGACAUGAAUACUGAAAAAAGGGAAACUUUUCCUAAAAAUAUCUCAUAGCCUCCUGUCCAUAAGUGUGGUGUACUACACACCUAUGCACAAGACUCUACUUGAUAUGGAUUUUAGACUCCCUAGGAUUUUUUUGAACCCUAGGCUCUGAUAUCAAGGUAGUAACGAGCUGAAAGUACACCCUGGGUAUCAUACGACGCUUACGAUCCCGAAGGGCCACAAGCUAACCCAUGACUAUUAUCUGUUGUGAGCAUUGAAUAAUAAUAUGUGAUAAAUGUGAAAAAUAGGUUGAAAUUCCAUAAGGUUCAAAAGAUCUGGAAUACUGAUAAAUAUACCAAUCAAUUAAAAAUAUCUAAAAACUAAACACUAUCUGAACUGGUCUAGUCUAAAAGCCUCUAGCUGAAUUGUCUGAAAGUGGAGUUAAUGGGACAAAACCCAACUAACUCCAAACUACUGAACUAAUGAUAAACUAAAAUACUAAAAUAAAAACAUAUCCUCAAUAGAUGAGGACUCAUUACUAAAUCUGCGACUGCUGACUGGGUCUGUCUAAGCGUGGUCAGAAACCUGAGCGUCCAAACCUAUGAUAUGAAACAUCAUAAGGCAAUAAAGUAUGCGUCAAUAUGUGGGAAUGUACUAGUAUGCUAGAUAAGGAAAUGUUGAAUGCAAGGUCUUAUAUGCAUGAACAAUAACUAACUGAAUGAUAUAGAGAAACUGAAUGUAAGAGUACAUGAAUAACUGAUACUACCGAAAUCACUGAGUAUGCAAUAUUGUGGACAUGUGUAUAUAUAUAUAUAUAUACUGUAUCUGAGAUUUUAUGAAGCUGAGUACUAAGUUUGAUAACUGAGUAACUGAUAACUGAUGUUCUUAUACUGAUUGACUGUGUCUGACAGUCCUGAUUCUGUAAAAUUAAAUUGAGUUCUAAACGAAGACUGAAAUUGAAAUUGUGGGAGGUAAUCAUCUUACUGACAUGCCCCAAAUCUGAGCUGAUAGAGUCAAACCUGUAACCCCAUUUGGAAGGGUUCUAAUAUCGUGCCAUGGGUACUAAUAAAUAAACAUGUAUUUUGGUUGAUCCUAUUUAUAACAUAAGUGAUAAACAACGCAUAAAUUAAUAAAAGAACAAUAAGAACAUUACAAAUUAUAACAAAGGGUACUUCUUAAAUAAACUAACUACCCCAAAUAAACAUGCACAUAAAGUAAAUGUAAGAAAAAGAACAAAUUCGCAAAAUUAAACAAAGAUUAGUUUUGGUCUUAUUCGGAUCAGAGCCCCAACUUGUUAAUCAUUAUCCGACCUAAUAGUCGGAUUCUUAAACAAGUAAAAAUGUCAAACGUCGUGUAAUGUCUCUGGGUAUCAUCACUUCUGAAUGACUAUCUUCCCCACCCCAUCUAGGCUGAUUGCUAACCUAAAGGCGCACUAAAAAGGGAUAAAACUAAUGCCUCUAGAAAUGUCUAUCUCCCCACCUAUCGCCCAAGAGGCAUUGGGCUUUGCUAAUUUGGAUUUGUGGUCUAGACGAACAAAGAUAUGUUUUCUAGACCUCAAAGCGCCUAAAACACAAAAGAUGUCAAGUAGCAUAUACUGUCUCAAGUUAGCCUCUUGGUUAAUUAAAGAGUGAUUAAUGUGAUCAAGAUAAGUAAUUACUAUUUUUUGAUGUAGUUAAGCUAUAGUCAUGGUAUCUAUGUGUUAAGAAAUUAUUUAAUAUGAUGAAAGAUAAUUGUCAUUUACGUCAAAAUAAUGUGUGUUAUAAAAUUUGCCUAGGUUGUCAUAUAGCACAUAAAGCACAUAGAUCUUUGUCCCCUCCCCCAAGCAGUCCCAAAUUUUAUUAUUACAUCAGAAUAACGCUUAUACAAUAAAUUCCUACAUACUAAAAAAAAUAAACUACACUCGGGCGACUCUUCAAAACCCCACUUUAAUGACACUUGUUGAAUACAACAAAAUAAUAAUGCAAGCACAAGACAAACCCACACAUGAUUUGGCACAUCGAAACAAUAAAGAAAGGCAUAGCAAGCAAGCAAUGAGCAAUUAUUUCAAGCUAACUCAUGUAGGCAUACUUUCUAAUAUCAUAACGUUAUUACACUGGAUAUAUAAAAUGCAUCAAAUGCAUCAAUGAGAGAGACUCAAUAGUGAGACUACAAGUAAUAAUAAUAAUAAUAAUAAUAAUAGGACUUUGAAUAAAAACAGUAAAAGUAAUGUCCGAAUCCGACGACUACUGAAUUCCAAAAGUACCACUAAGUUUGAAAAAAAAAAGUAAUUAUUUUGUAUAUGGACUAGUUGAGAACUUUUGUGAUCCAUAGUAGUAGUGAAAGUGGGAUAAAAAAAGGUGCCCUCUCAGAGAGAAGAAAAAAAAGGGUUUAUAUAGUGUAGGGAGGGUGGUGUCAUCAAAAGAGUAAAAGGAAAAAAGUAAUUUUAUUACUUAAAUAGAUAGCAAAAUUAUAAGGAAAACUGAUAUAUUUUUUUUGCCUAGACGCAAGAUCUGCCUAAAAAUUAAGGAGAAAAUAUUUAAAAUAGCUAAUUGGGAGAAUUAAAAGGAAAAGAAUAAAAUAUUUAAAAUAGCUAAUUAAAAUAGCUAGUUGGGAAAAUUAAAGAAAAGAAAUAUUCAUCAAUAGGAAAGGCGGCUGAAACAAUUAAGGAAACGAAAUAAUCAUUAAGCAAAUUGUCAAAAUUACCAUGAAAAGAAAUUGAACAAUGCGUUGCUCACUACUAUCCGAUUUGUUCAAAUUUAACAUAUAAAUUAAACUGCAAUUUAAAGGUGUAAAAAUCAGUCACAGGAAAACAAAACCAACCAAAUAGACAAGUUAAGCACUAAUUAAAGAGUUGUACAAAUCAUCCAUAUAAAUCAUGUCAUAAUGGAAUAAUUAAGGGUAUGGAAAUCAGUCUAAAGAAAUUAAACCAACUACGCAUAUAAAUCAUACCGUAAGGAGAAGAAUCAAAUAUUAGGGAGAGAGAAUCGAUGUCAAAAAUCAGAGUCUAAUAACCAGCCAGGAAAAUAGGAUAGCAAACCCUUAAGAACACUAGUUGCAAGCCUAGCCAAAAUUAGGCUUAAAACAGUUCACAAAAAUAGACAUUUUCACACCUAUGGAUUUAAGCACAUAAGCGCACAUGAAAUUGCAAGAAUCAAUUUAAAAUUCGUAAUCAAGUCUUGUCAAUUUUGAAUCUAAAAAAAAUAUUGAAAGGCAAAGAAGGGAAGAAGAUAAUAACAUACUGGACAUGCAAUUAAAAUGAGAAAUUAAAACAUUGGACAGAUUCUUCAGAAUCUGUCAUAAAAAAAUAAUUAGUCCUCUCGGUAGGUUUGACCGGCAGUGAGGCGGCAGUGGCUUAAGGUUCUGUUGACUAGAGUAGUGGUGGCUGGUUGCGUGGAUCUGGAUGCUGGUGGGCGACUGAAGCAGCGACGGCGUCAGCAUGGAUGCUGGCGUUCGUGACGGCGGAAAUUUUAGUGUUAGAGUGGAGACAUAGAUUGGAGGUUGCUGGGGUUGAUACUGUCGUUGUUUUUUCGGCCGUAGACGGUGUUGCGGUGGCGGUGGCAGGCGGAUCCUUAGAGAGACAGGGGAGAGAUAAAAAGAGAAAGGUUAAGGGGGCCAGCAACGAGAAACAAAAAAAGAGAAAGAAGAUGCUGAGGCAGCUGCUCUGGUGGUUCACCGGCCAUAGUGGCUGGUGUUGUGGUGGAGGUUGGCUGGCGACAGCUUGGUUGUUUUAGAUAGAAGGGAGAGAGAGGGAAUGAUGUGCGGUUGAUUAAGGAUUUAGGGUUAGGGUAUUGAUUGUCUAAAAAUAAAAGAAAAGAGAAAUGUGAUCUUAGCUAUUGGAUAAAUUUGAUCAACAGCUGAGAUAUAAAUAUUAAGAAAUUGACCCAAAUUGGCUGAAAAUUUUAAAUUGAGUCUAAUUAGACACAAUUUGACUAGAAUUGUAAUAAAUUGGGUAAAAUUAGGUUAAAAUUAUUAUAGAUUGGAUAGAAAACAACUAAAAUUUAAAUAAAUUAGGAACUUGAAUUGAAUUAGGCUACUAAGUAAUAAUGACGAGAACAAAAUAAUAAGGCGCAUGUGAAAUUAAUGUUAUAUAAAAUUAUAGAUAAUAGUAAUAAUAAAUACAAUAAAUUUAUAAAUUGUGAGUGUGUACAUUUACGUAAAAAUAAAUAUAUUAAUAAAAUUAUCAAAAAUAUCAAAUUUGAAUUAAUAAGUUGUGAAAAAUAAUACUAAAAAGUAAUAAAAUAUUUUAUACAUUUUAAAGUCAUGAAUGUGGCUUGUCCAAAAUUAUUUGAUAUCGUUAAAUAAUUUUAACAAAAAUAGCAGCCUAAGAGAACAUCAGGAGGUCAAAAUUGGGUGUCAUCACGUGGCACAUCAGUGAAUAAUACACUAAAUGUCCAUGUAGGCAUACGUAUAUGCCACAUGGGCACUAAUGUUGACAAAAAUACGAUUUUAAUUAGUCGGGAGAUAAUAGGACCAUGCUAAAGUUCGAGAGUAUCUCAGCAUUUUCGUGUAUAUUUUGGGUGAAAACAGAGUAACUUUCUCUUUGUUUUUAUGAAUUUGUGAUUUUACUUGAUAACUCGCUAAAGAAGAUUUUAAUUUAAUUUUUUUGAUAUUGGAUGAAUAAAAAAACUUAAUAAACUCUAGAUUAAUUUUAAUUAUCUUUCCAUCCACAUAGAAAAUUUCUGAACUAUUUGCAUGAAAUAUGUAAUACCCCGCAAAGUCCUCUUCCAGUCUGAGCCUUAGAGCGUACUCAGUAAAGUGGAAAUCUGAGGCUAAAAGUUUCAAAAAUAUUUUCCUAAGUAUAAAUUAAUUUUAGUCAUGUGGAAUUUCUCUAAUUUCUACUUUUUUCAUGUAGAGCAAUGAAUAAGCUUUCUAUCGAUACCAAAUUCGCCCAAAUCGGACACUUGGGUGAAGGGUUAGAGCCAUUUUAGUGAGACAGUGUGCCACCUCGCACCUUAGCGCGUUGCACAGCCAGCCAAAAUGACAAUCGUCAAAAUCCAAUGAGCCUCCGCAAUUCCACCGCAUCGCGGUAUAGUUUCAAUUCCCAACCAAGAUGGCAAUGCGAUUUCCACCGCGUUGCACCGUCGUGCAGUUUCUCAAUUGUCCAUUUUCCAGUGAACUAGCGCGAUUAUGGCGCGUCGUGCCAGCAUAAAAAAUUGGAAUUUUUAGUUUAAUUCCAAGGACGAAAAGGAAUUUUUCCCAACCCUAAUAUAUACCCACUUUACACAAGAAUUGGCCUCAUUUUCUCUCUUUCCACUCUACAAAAAUUAGGGUUUUCAAGAAAAUUAAAAUAUCCUCUCUUCUUCAAGCAAAAAUCAAGAAAGAUCUAGAGAAAUCAAGAAUCUCUCCAAAGGCCUUCAAUAAAAGAGUUUCCCCAAGGUACGUAGAUGUUGAUUCUUGGGUCCCUUUCAUCUAAGAAGCUCAAAACCCCUUUUUAAAACUUCAAAAUUUUUAUGCUUAUGAGAUUCCAUGAUUUGUAUGAGUUGAAAUUGAUGUUCCUUGUGAUGUUGAGUUUUGAUUUAUGUUUGUGUACAAGAUUUGUGAGCUUUGACCUUAGUAUGUGGAAUUUAUGUGAUGCGUUCAUGGCAUUUGGUUGUAGAAAUGGUUGAAUAAGUGAAACAUAUCCCCCAUAGGUUUGAUAAAGAGCUUAGUUGAAGCAUAAGGGUGAUUGUAGUAUGUUGAAGAUGAAACCCCAAAGUGUGAGUUAGUCUAUGCAUGCCUAGUAUUUGAUAAAAUGCCCAAGUGGAUGAAUUAUUCCAUGAUAGAGGGAAAUCCCUAACUAAGUGUGAACCCGUGCAUGUCUAGUGUUUGUUGAAGGACUCUAGUGAACAAGUGGAGAUAUGAUGGUAGUAAAUUCCUCAAUUAUGUGCUCUUUGAUAUCUGCUAAGCUUUUAAUACAUGCUAAGUGAUUAGCAAGUAAGUUGAGACAUGAUAGUAUGAAGUUUUCCCCAAAUCAAUUGAUAUCCAAGUACAUGUCAAGACUGAUUUAGGUGUGAAGUACUUGAGGUAAAACCUUGUUGAAGGAAGUAUAAUCUAGUAGCAUAUUUCCUUACGCUAGUAUAUGUUGAUGUUUCCUAAAUACUUGAUGUGAUACCUUAAUGAUUGUAAAGGUGAAGGUAUGUUAUGUUUCCUAAAUACUUGAAGAGAUGCUUUAAUGAUAAUGAUGAUGAAUGAAUGAAUGACUAUGAUGAUGAAUGAUUCGACUGUGAUGAUGAAUGAAUGGUUGUGAUGAUGGAGGAAUAAUUCUACUUUAUUUUAUGCUAUCGAGUCCUGGGGGUAUUUAUACCCUGUAAUUUAGCUGUUGUAUAGAGCUCGUGUCAGUUUCUCGAUAAUUCCAGUCGAGCCAUAAUUCUCAGAAUUCAGUGAACUAUAGAACUUUGUAUCCUCAGAUAGUUACAGAACUUAAGAAAGCUCAGUAAUCUCAGUUAUCUCAGUAAUCUCCGUAUCGCUAGUUAUCUAGCCUUAGUCCUGUAAUCAACUCAGAUCUAAGAGUAUUCAAGUGUUCAAUUCUAAUCUAAGAAACGAUUUAAGUAAUCAUAAUCUAUUCAAGCUCUGUAUCGUCAGUCAGAUACUGUGAUUCAAUGCUAUUUUCGUCAGAUAUGGAACUAAGUGAUCUCAGCGUAGCUUAGUCAGAUAUUUUGAUAAACAUGAUUAGUAUCAGAUUUAGUUCAGUUGUGUUCAGUUAAAAAUUUAGUCAGAGUCUUUCAGUUGGGAGUAGAAACUAGCAUCGAGCAAGGAAAGAGAUGACAGCUCCUCCUGUCAGUGAGAGAGAGAGAGAGGCCGAAGUCGUUAGUAGCAAUCUCUGACCUCUAGAACUAUGUAGCCAGCUCAAGAUACAGGAGUCAUCAUCUGGAAAAGGCUGUCACCUCCAGAGGGAGAGUAUUUGACUAUUAUAUUGCCUUAGGUUGACUGCCUGGUAACGUUCAUCCAUCAGAGAUGAUUGACCAGAGAGAAUUCUUUACCCGUGGCACGGUAUUGACACCCUUCUAACUGGGGUUACAGGUUGGACCCUACCUAUGGUAGGGGUAUGUCGGUUAAGUAACUACUUCCCACAGUUUCAGUCUCAAUUUUAGUAUCAAUCUUCAGAAAUUAGGACUGUCAAAUACAGUCAUCUAUCUUUAUGAAGAACUCAGAUAGUUCCAUCAAUUCAUGGACCAUCCUGUCAGAUAGGCUUGGUCUCAUAUAUAGUUCUUUGAUGUCAUAUUCAGAGAUAUGCCUCUAUAUAGGCUUGAUUCACAGUCUCAGAUUCUAUUGAGUAUCCUUGUUGUCAAAUUUAGAUAUAUUCAUAUUUCUUAUCAUUGAUAAUAGUUUUUGAAAUCAUCCGUUAGAGAGGUUGAUCUCAAAUCCUGCCAGUCGAAAGUAGUAAAGCUCAGAAUUCAAUCCUUGAUGUAAGUGCAUCCAGAUACUCAGUUAUCAAUAUCAGAUGAAUCAGUGAUUCAGUAUCUCAGUGUCAGUAGUGAGUUCAAUCUGCGGUAAAGUGGUAUCCGAGUUUCAGUAUCUAGAGUUGUGAUGAUUGUGAUUAUAGUCUGUGCAUUCAUGUAUGUGUUCUCGUGCGACAUUUUCAUGAUUAUACAGUUUAGAUAUUGUGCACGCACGAGCCUUUGAAUUUAGCCUUACCUUGUCUACAUACUCAGUACAUUCCUGUACUGACGCAUUUGCGCUAUAGUGUUUUAUUUGGCACCAUAGGUUCAGAGGCACAGAACCCAGAGUUUUCUCAACAGUUCCAUCCCAGUCAGCAGCAGUAGUCGUAGCAGUGAGUCCUCUUCUUUUGAGAACGAGUUUCAAUUUACUAUUAUUUACAUAAGAUUUUAUUUAUAUUUUCAGUUAACAGAGUUAGUUAGGGUCAUGUCCCAUCAACUCCAUAGCUCAGACAGUACAGAGGCUUUUCAGACAGAUGUCGGAUGUAUUAGUAUUCAGUUUUUUGUAUUUGAGUAUUUAUAGAUGUGUUGAACCUUAUGGUUAGUCUCCGCAUUUAUUUUAGAUAUUAUGCAGUAUACAAGUGCAGCUAUCAGAAAAGGGUUAGCUUGUGGUCCUUCAGGGUCAUAAGCACCGUGUGACGUCUUGGGAUGGGAUCUCGGGACAUUACAAAUCCAAAGGUCAAAUAUCGCACUUUUAGGACGAAAUCAAGUCAAAUUGCACAAUUUUAUUGUCAAUCAGUAAUCGAUCUUCUUAGUAAAGACACCGAAGCACAAAAACAUAAUCAAAUCGUACUUCAUAAAGGGUAGAGAAUUGAAUCACAUGAGUUCACAAUAGAGCAGUUAAUACAAACAUUUAUAAAUUUUUAAACGAUGAAGAGUACAAUUUUUUACUACAUUUUGGUGCAAAAUCUAAACACAACUUGUGUUGCAUGCUAAAAUGUCUUUAAUAUUCAACUAUUACUCAUGUACUCGCUGAAAUUAAAAUAAAACACGAUAAUUUCUCUUAAAUUUUUCAAUGAAACUAUAAAUCUAAAGUAUACGGUUAACUUAAAACAUUAAUAUACAUAUUAGAGUAAAUACAAAAUUAUUUUAAAAAUAAAAUUUACUGACAAAUAUAAAGGGAUGUCAAUGUAUUUCACAUUUUCGCUACCUUAUUUAAUUAAAUAAAUUAUCCAUCUUUACAUGUUCAAGAGAUGUUGGAUUCAUUUUUAUUAUUUAAAUAAAUAUCAUAUUUAGUGUAGAGUUUAAACUCAUUAAAGUGAGGUACACGCAUGAGGUUCGUACACCAAAACUAAUAUAAAAAAUAUAUGACAAGAGGUAAGAGUAAAUUCCCUAAGUGAUCAUCCAUAUUUGGAAAGUGCUACUAAUAUCACUUUUAUUUUUUUUUAGAACUAUAAUAUCAUUCAACUGUCACUAUUUUCCUCCAAAUAUAUUUUACACAAUUAAAAACUACUUCUCUCCUAGUUGGAUGUCAUACCAUAUGAAACUUCUUCUUUUUUUCCUUAAAUAAUAAAUAAUACAUUAACUAACCCAUUUAACUCAACCAAAUUUUAGACUGUCAAAAAAACUAAUACAAAGCCUAAAAAUUUCCUACACAAUUCUAUGUCAAACAUUACAUUAAGGAUACAUAAUCUUACUUUAUUUUCUAUAAUUAGUUGGACUUAUGAUUAUAUGCCUCUUCGCUAAUUCUUGAAUUUGAUUAGGGAUAUUUAUUAAUUUUAAGUUUAUUAAUCCCACCAUUUACAAAAUAAUUAAUUUCAUGAGAUGUCCUAAUCCAUUAAAAUAAUUUUGUCUAUCUUAUUUCUGUGCCAAACGACCCCUUAAAGUUUUACAUAAUGAAUGCCAAUUGAAAAACAAUGUACAAGAGAAAUAUUUGCAAAAUAAAGACUACAAGAAAAUUUAUACGACUCUUUCAAAGAUAUAAAUGAUUUUAUUAAGAUCCUAAAAGGGAAUAAUUUACAAACUCAUUGAUUCUUUAUAUUUUUAGUUUAACUAGUUUAACCGCACGUGUCUCACACAUCUAACAUUUGAUACUUAAAGUUAAAUAAUUGUAUCUAUUGCGGGAAUUUUAAUCAAGUGUAAAAAGUUCAAAUCACUUUUCAAAGAUCGUUCACACUUUAAUAUAUUAGUGUAAACAUAAACACACACACACAAACACACACACAUAUAUAUAUAUAUAUAUAUAUAUAUAUAUAUAUAUAUAUAUAUCUUUGUGUGUGUGUUUAUGUUUAUAUUAUAUAUGUUUAUGAAGUUCCAAGUAGUUGAUGGAUCAUAACUUUUGUGUUUGCUAUCAAUACCUAUUUCCCUUACUGGCAGAGACUAAGAGAGUCUCAUCAAUUUGAACCACAUCUGUGGUGUGAUUUUUUUUUUUCUAUAUUUAAAAUCUUUUCGUGUUUUUAAAGUCAAAUCUUUAUAAAACGAUUGAUUACAUUCUUAAAAUACUUUAAACUUUUUAAAAUUUGAUACUUCUUAAAUUUUUCUUAUUCUAAUACUUUUAUAUUUAUUUAUAAAUUUUUUAAAUCUUCUUAAUAUAAAAUUUAGUUGAUUUAGAAUUAUUAAACUAAUGGAAAAAGUAUUAGUUAUCAUUAAUUCUAAUGACUUCUAAUAAGGAUAGGUUUUACCAUAAAUAUAUUUAAUCAAUUUUAAACUCUUUAAUAUUAGGAAAAAAAUGAAAGACGAUUUUGUCGAGAACAAAGACUUUUAAUGAAGGAUAAAAUGUUUAAAUAAUAUUUCCGAGGCCUUCACACUUUUAAUAUAUUAUGGAUAUGGAUAUCGAUAUAGAUUAUAGAUUAUAGAUAUAGAUUAUAAAUAUAGAUUAUCUAUAUUAUAGAUAUAAAUAUAGAUUAUAGAUAUAGACAUAGAUAUAGAUAUAGAGUAGAGAUAAGAUAACUUUAUAAUUAAGAAGAUUGACGGGUGUGGAGUCAAUAUUUUUCGAGUUACCGUUUAUUAUUAGUACAAACAAUUUCUUUUGAUAAGCAAAUACAUCUAAAACAACAUCAUAGCGAGAAUUGAGAAAUGAGAUUAAUAAUUUCCUUAUACUUUGUAGUUUCUUCAUCUCAGUUUAUUUCAUACAAUCUUUAUCUUAAAAGUUAGAACAUGAUGUUUGGUUGAAUUAUUUGAUGAAUAUUAAAAAUCCUGUUAUUCCCUGGAUCAAAUUCAAGAAUCGGUGGAAAGAUAUAUAAUCAUGAGUCUAACAAAUUAUAAAAAAUAAAGUAAAAUUAUGCAAAAAAAUGUUAUGACGGAAAGAGGUAAAUACAAAAAUAAAGAAAGUAAAGAACACCAAAUUUAAAGUGAAAAAACCCUUCAAGCGAAGGUAACAACAACGGGAUCACAAAGAUCAAAAUUGCUUCACUAUAACAAUAAUAGGGUUGCAAAUAUUCUUCCAAUGGCCACACAACAAGAUACAAAUUUGGAGAAGAAAUAGCUACACUAACAAAAGUAAAUCAAGAGAAAUCACUCGAAACAGAGCUACUAUUCGAAACACAAAACAAGAUGCUACGAACCUCAAAAUCCGAUCUCCACCAUUCAAAUCAAACAACAAGAUUUUUGAAAUACUCAGUCAAAAUUUCAGACCUCUCCAAUGGUGAACAAGGUGGAAAACACGAUUUGAAGUUGGCUAGUCAGAGAGAAAAAAUUCACAACAAACUCUCUUUCUCUCUUCUCUCUUUGGUAAAAUCUCUCUCAAAAACCUCUCUUAUGUGCUAAUGUCUACCAAAAACAAAUACUAAUAAACAUGAAUAAUUCUCUCUGAAAUAGUCCUAUUUAUAGAUGAUGGGUGGUGCUUUUCCUAAAGUCAAACCAACUCAAAAUAAGAAUAAAAAUCCAAAUCCUUUUCCAAAUAGGAUUGAAAACCAAAAGAUAAUAUGAUUAGGCCAUGGGCCUUUGGCUGGAACAUGAACCACGACCCAUAAACUCCCCCUCCAUCCAAGGAUACAAAUGUUUCUUCAGGCAGAGGAACUCAUGAUAGGCUUCAUGCCUGGCAAAGUUCUAUAAUACUCAUGUUUCUCAACAACCACAAAUUUUAUUAACAAAUCUGAAGGAUUUCCAUUAUUAUUUAUCUCAACUUAUAAACUUACAUCUAAGAAUAGCACCAUAUGAAUAAAAAACAUUUUCAUAACAGGAGAGAAAAUUUUAUCAAAGUCAACUCCCUUUCUCUGGCCGAAGCUUUUGACAACUAGCUUCACGUUAUACCUAUGUGCAGAGGUAUGUUGAUCUUUCUUUACUCUAAAGAUCCAUUUGUUUUUUAGAGCUUUUGAAACAUCCUGGCUUUUGACCCUUAGAAAAUUCCCUAGAAUUCUGUUCUUCAGACCCAAUACGACUCAUGGGUACUAGCUGUAUGUUGGAGUAAAAGUGGUAUGGUCCUAUCGUAUGCUGACUAGUUUUAGUUAGUGGGAUGGUUUUGGUCACUGGAAUGGGUACGAAUUUAGGUCAUGAGUCGUAAGGGUUUGAUACGAGUCGUAGAAGGGACUCGUAUGGUGGGAAGUAUUUGAUCCUCCUGGUAUUUCAUUCUGCCAGGGAUACGAGUCAUGGAUACGGAUCAUGGAUACGGAUCGUAUGUUAUGGUUAUGACUUUAUUGGAUGGGUCGUAUACUGUACAAUGUUUGAUCCAAGGGUUGAGUAUUGGAUAUAAGUGGAGGAUACCAAUCGUAUAGGAGGUACAACUCGUAUGGGUCAGUUGUAUCCCUGUGAUGGGUUUUUAGGGAAUUUAAGUGGGGGUAUUCUGGACAUUUCCCUACUUACCCUAUGUAAUACCCCAUACUAAUCUUAGCUCAGUUUAACUCUUAGUAGUAUGCAUAAGAGGCUUAAAUCCUGAAAAUUUCACUAAGUGUUUAGAACUUAGUAAUUUUUAAGACCUUUUAACUUUGAGGAUUGUUAAAUUAGUCUUCCCAACCCUGAGAUGUUGGUUUUUGAGUUAAUGCAUGUUCAGGGUGUAAGAAGCAUAUCUCAGGGAAGUUUUGGAUUUUUCAGAUAAGGAUUGGGUCAUGUUUGGAUCACGAUUCCAGUAGCUCAUUGAGAUAAGGCCGAGUCACAAUAGUAAUAGCGAUGAAACCCUUAUCACAUCACAGUGACCCUAUAAACCGUAUUCCAAUUAUGAAUUUAAUUGCAUGAGGGGCAAUUGUGUUAUUUUCCCUUAAUUCAAUUUGUCAAUUCAUGAAUAAUAACAUCCGUUAGGGCAUUAUUUGCCCAUCUUCUUCAAUUCUCCUCUCAAAGAAACCCUAUUCACUUCCCAAGAACAUCAAUUUCCAUUACUUUCUCUCUAAGGAAAAAAACCAUUCAAGUUCCUAAAUCCAAGAACCUUUAAGAAAGUAUCAAGAUUGGUGUUUCUCUUUCAAGAUUAAGGAUUUAAGGUAUGUGGGAGUGCACAGAUGGGUCUGUUUUCACCCAUGUAGCCCAAGAAUCCUCUUUUUAUUUUUAAAUUAUGAGUUUUACAUGUUUCAAGUUGAAUUAUUUCUAUGAAUCUCUUGUUGACUUCAAUUAUGAGUUAUGGUCUCAUGUGUUUUCUAGUAAAAUGAAUCAUAUCAUAUUUGAGUAUUGAAAUUUCCAUACUAUGUUCAAUUGAUUUUACAAUGAAUCCCCAAGUUAUGAAUUUAGCUAUGUUAUCCUAUGGUCUUCCCAUGUUCAAGUUCAUGAUUCCCAAGUAUUUGAUGAAAUGUCUAUGCUUUUGAGUCAUUGAACUAUGAUUCAAUCCCAAUGUUUUAAGCUUUACUAAUGUAUUUUAUACUCAUUCAGUGUUGGUGGGUUAUGAAGACCCGAUACCUAUGUGAUUUACAUAAAUUUAGCUUUUCAAGUAUUUAGGCAAUUAAUCCAUGAAUCUUAUCAGUAUACUCAGAUAUCCAUAUUCAUGAUGAGCAUUAUGAGUUUAUGUGUUAUUAAUUACCCCAGAAUUCGUAUGCACUGUUAUUUUCAGAAUACCAUGACCUAAGAUUAUCAGUUAUUAGUUAACAGUGCAUGCACCAAUUAGUAUUCUGGUGUUAUUCAGUUGGGAGUAGGAUUUAGCACCGAGAAAACUCAGGGAUGGGGGCAUUCUUGCCAGUUUAGGGUUUGAUCCUAAGUAGCAAUCUCUGAGUUACAGAACUAUAUAGCCAGCGUAGGUUUGAUAUGUCUUCCUUCCAGUUUAGCGUUGACACAAAUCACAUGAAUAUCCUGGCAGUAUAGGGUGACUCCUUAGUCCUUCGAGACACCAAUUUAGUAGAUCCACACAGCCAGUGUUAGUACCCGUGACACGGUACUAACACCCUUCCUACUGAGGUUAUAGGUUGGACCCUAAUUAACUCAGAAUGGGUAUUUCAGUUAGAUGAUACCUCCCAUAGUCUCAAUACAGUAUUCAGUACAGUUUCAGUUCAGGUUUUCUUGACCAAAGCAUACAGACUCUCAAUUAUUCAGUUAUCAGAUUUCAGUAUUUUAUUUUAUAGAUUAUUGCAGAAAUUUAUCUGUGCUUAGUCUUGCAUUCUCAGAUAUUAUAAUUUCAUGCAUUCAUGCUCAGUUAUCCCAUGUUGUUUAGUUAGUUCUUACCUUAUAUGCAAGUACUCCACAGUUUUAGUCCAGUUUUUUAGACGUUAGUUAUUCAGUAUUCAACUAUCAGUCAUUCAGUUAACUAGAUCAGCUUAGUAAAUGCUGUGUUUAGUUUUGUAUGUUUAUGCAUUCAUGCUCAAUAUAAUUGUAUAUUCAGAUCCUCAAGUUAGGCAAAUUUCUAUCAUGUAGUUUUAGACCCAACAAUCAUACAGUAUCCAUGUUUUACUAUUUUCCAGCUUCAGUUCUACUUAUUCUACAGAAGAAAAGAUAUUAAGAAACUAAGUGUAGUGAUUUACCAGCUUAUUAGAUUGUGUUUGUUACUCAUGUUUUAAGAUAUUUCAACUUUUAGUUUAUUUCAGUCUAUUGGUGAUUUUACUUACACUUAAUAUGCAUGUUUUAAGAUUACAUAUGAAAUUAGUUUUACUUUUUGCAUUCGCCCCUUCUUAGUAAGUACAUUCCAAAAGUACUAAUCCACAUGUACGUCUGUGUAGCUACAUUAUUUCAUAAUGUAGGUACAAGUUGUAGUCCAAACAUCAUAAUCAGACAGUUGUAAUUUCUAGCCAACAGGUGAUGUGUUCUUCUAUUUUAGGGACUUCAAUUAGAUAUUGUUAAAAUACCCCGAAAGUAUACCCUGGACAUCACACAGUGCUUACGAUCCCAAGGGACCACAAGCUAACCCAUGAAUUGGUACCUGCUAUGAGCACUAAAUAGUAUACUGAUAACAAAGACACCAUGUGUAGAAAUUAACUAAAAAUGCCAUAAGGUUUAAUGCUGAAAAUAAUAUUGAAUCAUAAAAUUGAAAGCAACUAUCUGAAAAUUGAUAAAAACUGAUAAUAUAACUGACUGUCUGAAAGUGUCUGAAAGCCUCUAACUGACUAAGAAGUUGAUGGGACAAGCCCCUAACUAACUCCAACUGACUACUAAAAUGAAAUACUGAAAUAGACAGAAACAGUCCUCGAUAUAUGAGGACUCACCACUGCUUCUACUGCAGAUGCACUAAAAUAUCUAAGUAAGGUCGGGAUCCAGAGAGUCUUAACCUAUGAUAUAAGACAUCAUAGCACAAAAAAUGAGUAUAUAAUUAGUACUUUGAAUGUACUGGUAUGCUAGAUGAGGUUAGGUUGUUAUACAUGGGUUAUGUGCAUGAGUAAUAACUGAAUGAAUGAGUAGCAUGAGGUAACUCAAUAACUGAUAUGAAUGUGUGAGUGUUAUAAAAUCUAAAAAUACAUGACCAAGUAUAUAACAUUAUUUUGAUAUAGCCUAUAAACUGAAAUACUGAAAUUUGAUAAUUGAAGAACUGAUAAACUGUAUGCUAUGGUCAAUCAAAACUGAAUUGAGUUCUAAACUGAAUACUGAAAUAGAAAUUAUGGGAGGUAUAAUCUAACCAACAUGCCCCAAAGCUGAGUUGAUCGGGGUCUAACCUGUGACCCCUGUUGAAAGGGUGCUAGUACCGCGCCACGGGUACUAACAAUGAUUGUGUCGGCCCUAAACUAACAGGAAGACAUCUUGUCAAUCCUAAGCUAACAAGAAGACUCAUGAGAAAUGUGUCAACUCUAAAAUAACAGGAAAACAUCUUAAACCUACGCUAUCUAUGUAGUACUGUAACUCAGGGAUUACUACUAAGGGUCAAACCUUAUACUAACAGGAAUGCUCCCAUCCGUGGGUUCGCUCGGUGCUAAAUCCUACUCCUAACUAAACUGACACUGAUUAUGGGACUGAACUAAGUUUAACUAAAAAAGGAACUGACUCGAAUUACUGAACUGAUCUAAGUUUAACUGACAUGAUAACUGACUGAACUGAAAAUGCUCAUACCUGUCUGAAACAAUUUUGAAAAUGCUGAGAAUAAGUAAAUAACUAAAUUUUAGGCAUUCAUAACCCCUAUGACUCAAUAACAAUAACAACAGAGACACAUGAAAGCAUUGAAACCAUGGAAGGAAAUCAUUGUUCACAAUCAUUCACUUAAGCAUUUCAUCAAAAUAUGAGGGCCAAGAGAUAAAGCAUGGGAAUAGUUAAAUCAUGUGAUAAUAACAUAUUUGCAAUAUGAAAAUCAUGGAUUAAGGAUUUAACAUGCAAAUAUCAUCCUUCAAAUGUGUCAGGGGCUAAUUUAACGGAAAUAAUUUAGAAACAUGAUAUAAAAAUCAAAAUUCAUUAAAGUUCAUGGAUAUAAUUCAUAAUAACAUGUAAAGAUCAUAAUUUUAAACUUGAAAAUGGAUUGUUGUACUCCAUUGAUAAAAAGGACCCAUGAAUGAACAUCACAUAUACCUUAUAGCUUUAAUCUUGAAAGAGAAUUAACUUUUCUUGAACUUUCUUGGAUUGGGAAACAUAACUUCUUGGUUUUCUUGAAGAAGGGAUAGAAUCUUGUUCUUGGGAUAUGAUCUAGAGAGGACACCCUAAUCUUGUUAUUGGGAAUAAAGAGGGUUAAUGGCUUUUAAAAACUGAUUGAUAAUGACUAAAUACGCUUAUAAGGUGAUUUAAGUCAUGGCAGGGUAUGGUUUGAGGUAAGCAAAAGAACAAAAUACCCCUCCGAAGCUAAAUAAUAAUUGCUAAAAUUUUUAGUUGAUGACUUAGUUGAUAGCUUAUUAACUUAAGUUGUCAACCCAUAGUUUGAUUUGGACCCUUGCUGUCUAAGGGUGACGACUUGGCUGAUAAGUCAUCACUUAGUUGAUGGCUUAUCACCUCAAGUCGUCACUUUGUAGUUGAGGUUGAUCAUAUUCUGGUUAAGGAUGAUGAAUUGGUUGGUAAUUUGUAACUUAGUUGAUGGCUUAUCACCUCAAGUCAUCACCUUGUUGACAGACAGAUAUGCUGAUGUAAAAUGAGCAUAACUUUUCACUUCGAUGUCAAAUUAAGGUGAAAUCAAGUGCAUUGAAAAUAAGACUCAAAGACCUUUCAUUUGAUAUAAAGUAGGACACUUGGAAAAAUAUAUUAUAGGAUAUACACUCAUCUAAAAUGGACCCUAGCUGGAGCAUUUGUUAAAACCCUAUCGAUAGAAAAGUCCUCAUCUCGUCUUUAAGUUAGGAGAGUAUUAUGACCUCGAUCAAUAUACAAGGAUAUUCCCAUAUCAUAUAUUUAAUAAUCACAUACAUAUAUACAUACAAUAACUAGGUUCAAGUUUGUAUGCAUAGGAACAACGAUUUGAAUUCUAGCUAAAAAAUGUGGGGUGUUACAUUAUCUCCAUCUUAGGAACAUUUGCCCUUAAAUGAGACUGGUUAGCUGAGAAUAAUAGAAGAACUAAGAUCAUAGACUGAACGUGUAUGACUAAAAACAUAUUUACAUGACUGAGUUUAAAACAUGACACAUAACUGAACUGAAUUUCGUGAACAUAAGCAAUGACAUGAGAAUGGUUAUAAGGCUGAGAUAGAAACGAGAGAGUCAACUUAUAAGUAACCAUUAUCUUAGGCUGGAUAUGGUUUAGUGAAGUAAAUUUAAGAGUUUUAGGACAUGAAAAUUCAGGCAUUACAAUACAUCUUCCCCUUGGGAUAGUUUGUCCCCCGAAUGAUACUGAUUUGGCCGAAAUACUAAAAAAAGACUGAGAUGAUAUACAAAAUACUUAUGGACUGAAUCAUGACUGAAUAUCUGGAAUAUGAAAUAAGGUCUGAGUAAUAGAGGGUCAAUGACACGAAUUAAUAAA
This 23372-nucleotide long non-coding RNA is filed under the name Capsicum annuum. Its description in RNAcentral is "long non-coding RNA (CANN_LNC015934)". The record is from RNAcentral. Lineage: Eukaryota; Viridiplantae; Streptophyta; Magnoliopsida; Solanales; Solanaceae.